GUGACACGUGUCGUAAUUCUAUAGGUCGGAACCUUAUCCGAUGUCGGAAAAUGUAAUCCUCCGUGUCUCAACCCAGAAUCCGUCCAAAUUCCACGAACCAUUUCCAUUAACAAAUUCCGCCAACACCGAAACACAGCUUCAAUUAAGAGCAAGAUCCCAAAAAAGAAGCCCCCCUUGUUUCGGAAAAAACAAAAAGAAGUGAAACCUAAGAGUGAUCGGGAAUGGCGUCCCCGACCUGCUUCUUCCACCACAAUGCGCUCGCCUCGCCGGUCGGCGCCGUCAGGACGUUUCAGCGCCACGUGUCGGCGAUCCGGCCGUUUCAAGUGAUUUGCCAGGCGACCCAGAAGCAUGGGGACGAGGCGACGUCUGUGUCAAGGAGGUUAGCGGUCGGAAUCAUGAUCGGAGCCGCCGCCGCAGCGUCCAAAGUCUCCCCCGCCGAUGCCGCUUACGGCCAAGCCAGUAACUUUAAUUUCACCUUUUCAUUUUCUUGUGAAUUUUCAUGGUUCUUUAAAUUUUAUAAUCCAAUUAAGACCAGACAUUGUAGUUCAUCUAGAACCAAGGAUGUAACAAAAGGGCGGGCGUGAAUCUAACCGGUUUUCGGGUUUUGAUUUAGAUUGAUGAUUAUGCUUGUUCUGUUUCUAAAAUGGAAAAAAAAGAAAGGAGAAUCACAAUAAGGAUAUAUUCAUUUGAUACUAUAUAGUUGUUAACUGUUCCAAGAAUCAAGGUAUAUAUCGGACAACAAGAACCAUCCUGUAACUUAUUUAUGACAAUCUUGAUCGUAAAUCCGUUAGGGUUUGCGUUUGAACGUUGAAACUGCGAAGGUUUUUGGGAAACCGAAGACGAACACGGACUAUAUACCAGUAGAAGGUGAAGGGUUCAAACUCAACGUGCCGUCGAAGUGGAACCCUAGCAAAGAAGAAGAGUAUCCAGGACAAGUUCUCAGAUACGAGGACAACUUCGAUGCCAACAGUAAUGUCAAUGUCAUGGUCAGUCACCGACACUGACAAGAAGUCCAUCACUGACUAUGGUUCCCCCGAACAGUUCCUUGCCAAGUUUAACUAUCUUCUCGGGAAGCAAGCUUAUUUCGGUGAGACCGCCUCCGAGUUUGAUGACGGGGAGGGUUUGAUGCCAAUGCGGUGGCGACGGCGACGGCCAACAUUCUCGAGACGGGGACUCCGGUUGUGGAGGGGA
Molecule: long non-coding RNA, 1191 nt
Organism: Tarenaya hassleriana
Lineage: Eukaryota; Viridiplantae; Streptophyta; Magnoliopsida; Brassicales; Cleomaceae
Exons: 3
Source: RefSeq, a predicted model, not a curated record